This 492-nucleotide ribosomal RNA is filed under the name uncultured bacterium. Its description in RNAcentral is "partial 16S ribosomal RNA". It matches the Rfam family "Bacterial small subunit ribosomal RNA", at positions 29 to 507 of the family's 1533-position model. The record is from RNAcentral.
AGUGAACGCUGGCGGUAGGCCUAACACAUGCAAGUCGAACGGCAGCACAGUAAGAGCUUGCUCUUACGGGUGGCGAGUGGCGGACGGGUGAGGAAUACAUCGGAAUCUACUUUUUCGUGGGGGAUAACGUAGGGAAACUUACGCUAAUACCGCAUACGACCUACGGGUGAAAGCAGGGGAUCUUCGGACCUUUCGCGAUUGAAUGAGCCGAUUUCGGAUUAGCUAGUUGGCGGGGUAAAUGCCCACCAAGGCGACGAUCCGUAGCUGGUCUGAGAGGAUGAUCAGCCACACUGGAACUGAGACACGGUCCAGACUCCUAAGGGAGGCAGCAGUGGGGAAUAUUGGACAAUAGGCGCAAGCCUGAUACAGCCAUACCGCGUGGGUGAAGAAGGCCUUCGGGUUGUAAAGACCUUUUGUUGGGAAAGAAAAGCAGCAGGUUAAUACCCCGCUGUUCUGACGGUACCCAAAGAAUAAGCACCGGCUAACUUCGUG